UCCGAAGAUGAAACGGCACUGGGCUCCGACGGCGUUUAAAAAAAUGUCCGGUCAUGACGGAGAUGCCUUUUUGCGGCAGGCCUAGAAAACCUCGCCCACUGAGA
RNAcentral lists this small nucleolar RNA (104 nucleotides) under Penicillium griseofulvum. RNAcentral's name for it is "A. fumigatus snoRNA Afu_513". It matches the Rfam family "A. fumigatus snoRNA Afu_513". Lineage: Eukaryota; Fungi; Ascomycota; Eurotiomycetes; Eurotiales; Aspergillaceae. RNAcentral also lists the same sequence under 1 other name. The record is from Rfam by way of RNAcentral.